This is a long non-coding RNA of Mauremys mutica (yellowpond turtle), 226 nucleotides long. RefSeq lists it as uncharacterized. The record is from RefSeq and is a predicted model, not a curated record. Lineage: Eukaryota; Metazoa; Chordata; Testudines; Geoemydidae. The transcript is spliced from 4 exons.
CUCUGAUCACAUUGUCUCACUGCUUCCAGUUGUGUCCCUACCAAGGAAUAAAAGGGAACGAGUCCAGUGUGACACCAGGAACACUCCUGAAGAUCAUAUUGAAUAUGCCUCAGUGAAUUGGCUGGGAAGCUCCAGGCAUCCACGGCCCCAGAGAGAAGAGACACCGACAUACGCGACCAUCGCUCUGCAGCGGGACAGAUGUCGUUAAUGCCCCAUUUGCUGAAAU